RNAcentral lists this ribosomal RNA (223 nucleotides) under uncultured bacterium. RNAcentral's name for it is "partial 16S ribosomal RNA". It matches the Rfam family "Bacterial small subunit ribosomal RNA", at positions 28 to 224 of the family's 1533-position model. The record is from RNAcentral.
GACGAACGCCGGCGGCAUGCCUAAUACAUGCAAGUCGAACGAGCUUCCGUUGAAUGACGUGCUUGCACUGAUUUCAACAAUGAAGCGAGUGGCGAACUGGUGAGUAACACGUGGGAAAUCUGCCCAGAAGCAGGGGAUAACACUUGGAAACAGGUGCUAAUACCGUAUAACAACAAAUCCGCAUGGAUUUUGUUUGAAAGGUGGCUUCGGCUAUCACUUCUGG